This 351-nucleotide long non-coding RNA is filed under the name Equus caballus (horse). Its description in RNAcentral is "lncRNA (ENSECAG00000057742.1)". The record is from RNAcentral. Lineage: Eukaryota; Metazoa; Chordata; Mammalia; Perissodactyla; Equidae.
AAAAACCCAAAGUGAUUUAAUUGAUCCUGAGCUUGUCCUCUGAGUAGGGCAGCUGGCGUGGUUCGGUCCCACCAGGGAAGGCCAAUAUCCUGGUGCUGACCUCCAUGGCCAAUAACCUGGCUUCUCUGAACCAUUUCGGCUUUUGUUUCCUUGAAGACUGAGCGCUUUGGAGACUGAUGAUGUCAUGUGUCAGGCAUGUUGUCAGGCUAAAUGUAGAGCUUUUCCGACUCUGCAGCCUUCCUCAAGCUACUCCCAGGGGAACAGACCACUAGCCACAGUGUUCUUGAAUUCUUCCACACCCUUCCAAGGAUGUUGACCUUCUGCCCAGAGGUUUCACCCGACAGAGAGUUG